UCUGGCCAGCAUGUGGGGAUGAGAGGAUCCCUGAGCCAGUCAGGUCUCUGCUUCUCUGGGGGCACAGCGUGGAUGAUGGCCUGUAGGGCCCCAGGUGUGCAGGUGGUGAGCUUAGGUGGCAGCAGCUCAUCGGAGCACCUGGACACAUUGGGGAAGGACAAGGUGGUGGUCUUCCUGAAGGGGAUGCCAGAGCAGCCCCAGUGCCGCUUCAGCAAUGCCAUGGAACAGAUCCCACAACCUACAAUGUGCUAGACAACCCCCAGCUCCCACAAGGCAUUAAAGACUAUUCCAACCAGCCCCCCAUCCCACAAGUGUACCUCAACUGCAAGUUCAUGGGGGAGGUGGUGACAUUCUUCUGCAGAUGCACCAGAACCAGGGAGCUGAUGGAAGAACUGAAAAAGCUGGGGAUCUGCUCUGCCCUCUUAGAUGAAACAGAAGACCAGGACUCAAAGUGA
RNAcentral lists this long non-coding RNA (455 nucleotides) under Bos taurus (domestic cattle). Its description in RNAcentral is "long non-coding RNA NONBTAT024817". Lineage: Eukaryota; Metazoa; Chordata; Mammalia; Artiodactyla; Bovidae. The record is from RNAcentral.